AAUCUGCGAUAAGCGCCGGUAAGGUGAUAUGAACCGUUAUAACCGGCGAUACCCGAAUGGGGAAACCCAGUGUGAUUCGUCACACUAUCAUUAACUGAAUCCAUAGGUUAAUGAGGCGAACCGGGGGAACUGAAACAUCUAAGUACCCCGAGGAAAAGAAAUCAACCGAGAUUCCCCCAGUAGCGGCGAGCGAACGGGGAGGAGCCCAGAGCCUGAAUCAGCAUGUGUGUUAGUGGAAGCGUCUGGAAAGGCGCGCGAUACAGGGUGACAGCCCCGUACACAAAAGCGCAUGUGUUGUGAGCUCGAUGAGUAGGGCGGGACACGUGGUAUCCUGUCUGAAUAUGGGGGGACCAUCCUCCAAGGCUAAAUACUCCUGACUGACCGAUAGUGAACCAGUACCGUGAGGGAAAGGCGAAAAGAACCCCGGCGAGGGGAGUGAAAAAGAACCUGAAACCGUGUACGUACAAGCAGUGGGAGCACAGGUUUACCUGUGUGACUGCGUACCUUUUGUAUAAUGGGUCAGCGACUUAUAUUCUGUAGCAAGGUUAACCGAAUAGGGGAGCCGGAGGGAAACCGAGUCUUAAUUGGGCGUUAAGUUGCAGGGUAUAGACCCGAAACCCGGUGAUCUAGCCAUGGGCAGGUUGAAGGUUGGGUAACACUAACUGGAGGACCGAACCGACUAAUGUUGAAAAAUUAGCGGAUGACCUGUGGCUGGGGGUGAAAGGCCAAUCAAACCGGGAGAUAGCUGGUUCUCCCCGAAAGCUAUUUAGGUAGCGCCUCGUGAAUUCAUCUCCGGGGGUAGAGCACUGUUUCGGCUAGGGGGCCAUCCCGGCUUACCAACCCGAUGCAAACUGCGAAUACCGGAGAAUGUUAUCACGGGAGACACACGGCGGGUGCUAACGUCCGUCGUGAAGAGGGAAACAACCCAGACCGCCAGCUAAGGUCCCAAAGUCAUGGUUAAGUGGGAAACGAUGUGGGAAGGCCCAGACAGCCAGGAUGUUGGCUUAGAAGCAGCCAUCAUUUAAAGAAAGCGUAAUAGCUCACUGGUCGAGUCGGCCUGCGCGGAAGAUGUAACGGGGCUAAACCAUGCACCGAAGCUGCGGCAGCGACGCUUAUGCGUUGUUGGGUAGGGGAGCGUUCUGUAAGCCUGUGAAGGUGUGUCGUGAGGCAUGCUGGAGGUAUCAGAAGUGCGAAUGCUGACAUAAGUAACGAUAAAGCGGGUGAAAAGCCCGCUCGCCGGAAGACCAAGGGUUCCUGUCCAACGUUAAUCGGGGCAGGGUGAGUCGACCCCUAAGGCGAGGCCGAAAGGCGUAGUCGAUGGGAAACGGGUUAAUAUUCCCGUACUUGGUGUUACUGCGAAGGGGGGACGGAGAAGGCUAUGUUGGCCGGGCGACGGUUGUCCCGGUUUAAGCGUGUAGGUGUGUGUUCCAGGUAAAUCCGGUU
This 1443-nucleotide ribosomal RNA is filed under the name Salmonella enterica subsp. enterica serovar Paratyphi B. RNAcentral's name for it is "partial 23S ribosomal RNA". It matches the Rfam family "Bacterial large subunit ribosomal RNA", at positions 63 to 1547 of the family's 2925-position model. The record is from RNAcentral. Lineage: Bacteria; Pseudomonadati; Pseudomonadota; Gammaproteobacteria; Enterobacterales; Enterobacteriaceae.